Molecule: ribosomal RNA, 490 nt
Filed under: uncultured bacterium
Lineage: Bacteria
Description: partial 16S ribosomal RNA
Rfam family: Bacterial small subunit ribosomal RNA
Source: RNAcentral
GAUGAACGCUAGCUACAGGCUUAACACAUGCAAGUCGAGGGGCAGCAUGGUCUUAGCUUGCUAAGGCCGAUGGCGACCGGCGCACGGGUGAGUAACACGUAUCCAACCUGCCGUCUACUCUUGGACAGCCUUCUGAAAGGAAGAUUAGUACAAGAUGGCAUCAUGAGUCCGCAUGUUCACAUGAUUAAAGGUAUUCCGGUAGACGAUGGGGAUGCGUUCCAUUAGAUAGUAGGCGGGGUAACGGCCCACCUAGUCUUCGAUGGAUAGGGGUUCUGAGAGGAAGGUCCCCCACAUUGGAACUGAGACACGGUCCAAACUCCUACGGGAGGCAGCAGUGAGGAAUAUUGGUCAAUGGGCGAGAGCCUGAACCAGCCAAGUAGCGUGAAGGAUGACUGCCCUAUGGGUUGUAAACUUCUUUUAUAAAGGAAUAAAGUCGGGUAUGGAUACCCGUUUGCAUGUACUUUAUGAAUAAGGAUCGGCUAACUCCGUG